GACGAACGCUGGCGGCGUGCUUAACACAUGCAAGUCGAACGGAGAGGCCCUUCGGGGUACUCGAGUGGCGAACGGGUGAGUAACACGUGGGUGAUCUGCCCUGCACUUUGGGAUAAGCCUGGGAAACUGGGUCUAAUACCGAAUAGGACCGCAUGCUUCAUGGUGUGUGGUGGAAAGCUUUUGCGGUGUGGGAUGGGCCCGCGGCCUAUCAGCUUGUUGGUGAGGUAAUGGCUUACCAAGGCGACGACGGGUAGCCGGCCUGAGAGGGUGACCGGCCACACUGGGACUGAGAUACGGCCCAGACUCCUACGGGAGGCAGCAGUGGGGAAUAUUGCACAAUGGGCGCAAGCCUGAUGCAGCGACGCCGCGUGAGGGAUGACGGCCUUCGGGUUGUAAACCUCUUUCGCCAGGGACGAAGCGCAAGUGACGGUACCUGGAGAAGAAGGACCGGCCAACCACGUGCCAGCAGCCGCGGUAAUACGUAGGGUCCGAGCGUUGUCCGGAAUUACUGGGCGUAAAGAGUUCGUAGGUGGUUUGUCGCGUUGUUCGUGAAAACUCACAGCUUAACUGUGGGCGUGCGGGCGAUACGGGCAGACUUGAGUACUGCAGGGGAGACUGGAAUUCCUGGUGUAGCGGUGGAAUGCGCAGAUAUCAGGAGGAACACCGGUGGCGAAGGCGGGUCUCUGGGCAGUAACUGACGCUGAGGAGCGAAAGCGUGGGGAGCGAACAGGAUUAGAUACCCUGGUAGUCCACGCCGUAAACGGUGGGUACUAGGUGUGGGUUUCCUUCCUUGGGAUCCGUGCCGUAGCUAACGCAUUAAGUACCCCGCCUGGGGAGUACGGCCGCAAGGCUAAAACUCAAAGAAAUUGACGGGGGCCCGCACAAGCGGCGGAGCAUGUGGAUUAAUUCGAUGCAACGCGAAGAACCUUACCUGGGUUUGACAUGCACAGGACGCCGGCAGAGAUGUCGGUUCCCUUGUGGCCUGUGUGCAGGUGGUGCAUGGCUGUCGUCAGCUCGUGUCGUGAGAUGUUGGGUUAAGUCCCGCAACGAGCGCAACCCUUGUCUCAUGUUGCCAGCACGUUAUGGUGGGGACUCGUGAGAGACUGCCGGGGUCAACUCGGAGGAAGGUGGGGAUGACGUCAAGUCAUCAUGCCCCUUAUGUCCAGGGCUUCACACAUGCUACAAUGGCCGGUACAAAGGGCUGCGAUGCCGUGAGGUGGAGCGAAUCCUUUCAAAGCCGAUCUCAGUUCGGAUCGGGGUCUGCAACUCGACCCCGUGAAGUCGGAGUCGCUAGUAAUCGCAGAUCAGCAACGCUGCGGUGAAUACGUUCCCGGGCCU
This 1338-nucleotide ribosomal RNA is filed under the name uncultured bacterium. RNAcentral describes it as "bacterial SSU rRNA". It matches the Rfam family "Bacterial small subunit ribosomal RNA", at positions 28 to 1381 of the family's 1533-position model. The record is from RNAcentral.